GGGGGACAACCCAGGGAAACCUGGGCUAAUACCGCAUGUGCCCGCAAGGGUAAAGAUGGCUGUAAGGCUGCCGUUUGAAGAUGAGCCUGCGUCCUAUUAGCUGGAUGGUGAGGUAAAAGCUUACCAUGGCGAUGAUAGGUAGGCGGCCUUAACGGGCGGUCGCCCACACUGGGAUUGAGAUACGGCCCAGACUCCUACGGGAGGCAGCAGUCGAGAAUAGUCUACAAUGGACGAAAGUCUGAUAGUGCGACGCCGCGUGAAUGAAGAAACCUUUCGGGGUGUAAAAUUCUUUUCUGUGCGAGCAGGGGCUGAAAGAGUAAUAUGCUUUUGGUCUGGAUAUUAGUACAGGAAUAAGCCACGGCUAACUCCGUGCCAGCAGCCGCGGUAACACGGGGGUGGCAAGCGUUGUCCGGAAUUACUA
This 421-nucleotide ribosomal RNA is filed under the name uncultured bacterium. RNAcentral describes it as "bacterial SSU rRNA". It matches the Rfam family "Bacterial small subunit ribosomal RNA", at positions 138 to 556 of the family's 1533-position model. The record is from RNAcentral.